This 506-nucleotide ribosomal RNA is filed under the name uncultured bacterium. Its description in RNAcentral is "partial 16S ribosomal RNA". It matches the Rfam family "Bacterial small subunit ribosomal RNA", at positions 29 to 523 of the family's 1533-position model. The record is from RNAcentral.
AUUGAACGCUGGCGGCAGGCCUAACACAUGCAAGUCGGACGGUGGCACAGAGGAGCUUGCUCCCCGGGUGACGAGUGGCGGACGGGUGAGUAAUGUCUGGGGAUCUGCCCGAUAGAGGGGGAUAACCACUGGAAACGGUGGCUAAUACCGCAUAACGUCGCAAGACCAAAGAGGGGGACCUUCGGGCCUCUCACUAUCGGAUGAACCCAGAUGGGAUUAGCUAGUAGGCGGGGUAACGGCCCACCUAGGCGACGAUCCCUAGCUGGUCUGAGAGGAGGACCAGCCACGCGGGAACUCAGACACGGUCCAGACUCCUACGGGAGGCAGCGGUGGGGAAUAUUGCACAAUGGGCGCAAGCCUGAUGCAGCCAUGCCGCGUGUAUGAAGAAGGCCUUCGGGUUGUAAAGUACUUUCAGCGGGGAGGAAGGCGAUGUGGUUAAUAACCGCAUUGAUUGACGUUACCCGCAGAAAAAGCACCGGCUAACUCCGUGCCAGCAGCCGCCGUAA